AGCCAGACUCCUACGGGAGGCAGCAGUGGGGGAUAUUGCACAAUGGGGGGAACCCUGAUGCAGCGACGCCGCGUGGGUGAAGGAGUAUUUCGGUAUGUAAAGCCCUAUCGGCAGGGAAGAAGGAGGACGGUACCUGACUAAGAAGCCCCGGCUAACUACGUGCCAGCAGCCGCGGUAAUACGUAGGGGGCAAGCGUUAUCCGGAUUUACUGGGUGUAAAGGGGGCGCAGACGGCAGCGCAAGCCAGGAGUGAAAGCCCGUGGCUUAACUACGGGACUGCUCUGGAAACUGUGCAGCUAGAGUGCAGGAGAGGUAAGUGGAAUUCCUAGUGUAGCGGUGAAAUGCGUAGAUAUUAGGAGGAACACCAGUGGCGAAGGCGGCUUACUGGACUGUAACUGACGUUGAGGCUCGAAAGCGUGGGGAGCAAACAGGAUUAGAUACCCUGGUA
This 447-nucleotide ribosomal RNA is filed under the name uncultured bacterium. RNAcentral's name for it is "partial 16S ribosomal RNA". It matches the Rfam family "Bacterial small subunit ribosomal RNA", at positions 329 to 792 of the family's 1533-position model. The record is from RNAcentral.